UGGGGAAUAUUGCACAAUGGGCGCAAGCCUGAUGCAGCCAUGCCGCGUGUGUGAAGAAGGCCUUCGGGUUGUAAAGCACUUUCAGCGAGGAGGAAGGUGGUGAACUUAAUACGUUCAUCAAUUGACGUUACUCGCAGAAGAAGCACCGGCUAACUCCGUGCCAGCAGCCGCGGUAAUACGGAGGGUGCAAGCGUUAAUCGGAAUUACUGGGCGUAAAGCGCACGCAGGCGGUUUGUUAAGUCAGAUGUGAAAUCCCCGGGCUCAACCUGGGAACUGCAUUUGAAACUGGCAAGCCAGAGUCUCGUAGAGGGGGGUAGAAUUCCAGGUGUAGCGGUGAAAUGCGUAGAGAUCUGGAGGAAUACCGGUGGCGAAGGCGGCCCCCUGGACGAAGACUGACGCUCAGGUGCGAAAGCGUGGGGAGCAAACAGUAUUAGAUACCCUGGUAGUCCACGCUGUAAACGAUGUCGAUUUUGGAGGUUGUGCCCUUGAGGCGUGGCUUCCGGAGCUAACGCGUUAAAUCGACCGCCU
RNAcentral lists this ribosomal RNA (528 nucleotides) under uncultured bacterium. Its description in RNAcentral is "partial 16S ribosomal RNA". It matches the Rfam family "Bacterial small subunit ribosomal RNA", at positions 355 to 874 of the family's 1533-position model. The record is from RNAcentral.